CCCGGGAUAGCCCAGGGAAACCUGGAUUAAUACCGGAUGAGACGGGACCCGCGAAGGCGGGACCCGGGAAAGGCGCUGCGGCGCCGCCGGGGGAUGAGUCUGCGUCCCAUUAGCUAGACGGCGGGUAACGGCCCACCGUGGCGACGAUGGGUAGCCGGCCUGAGAGGGUGGACGGCCACAUUGGAACUGAGACACGGUCCAGACUCCUACGGGGAGGCAGCAGGCUAAGAAUCUUCCGCAAUGGGCGAAAGCCUGACGGGAAGCGACGCCGCGUGAACGAAGAAGGCCGUGAGGUUGUAAAGUUCUUUCGGGAGGGGAACAACCGUGGCAGGGAAUGGCCGCGGGAUGACGUGAAUCCCGGAAUAAGCCCCGGCUAACUACGUGCCAGCCGCGGC
This 395-nucleotide ribosomal RNA is filed under the name uncultured bacterium. RNAcentral describes it as "bacterial SSU rRNA". It matches the Rfam family "Bacterial small subunit ribosomal RNA", at positions 137 to 518 of the family's 1533-position model. The record is from RNAcentral.